This 491-nucleotide ribosomal RNA is filed under the name uncultured bacterium. RNAcentral describes it as "partial 16S ribosomal RNA". It matches the Rfam family "Bacterial small subunit ribosomal RNA", at positions 29 to 507 of the family's 1533-position model. The record is from RNAcentral.
GUUAACGCUGGCGGUCGGCCUAACCCAUGCCAGUCGCACGGCAGCACAGUAAGAGCUUGCUCUUACGGGUGGCGAGUGGCGGACGGGUGAGGAAUACAUCGGAAUCUACUUUUUCGUGGGGGAUAACGUAGGGAAACUUACGCUAAUACCGCAUACGACCUACGGGUGAAAGCAGGGGAUCUUCGGACCUUGCGCGAUUGAAUGAGCCGAUGUCGGAUUAGCUAGUUGGCGGGGUAAAGGCCCACCAAGGCGACGAUCCGUAGCUGGUCUGAGAGGAUGAUCAGCCACACUGGAACUGAGACACGGUCCAGACUCCUACGGGAGGCAGCAGUGGGGAAUAUUGGACAAUGGGCGCAAGCCUGAUCCAGCCAUACCGCGUGGGUGAAGAAGGCCUUCGGGUUGUAAAGCCCUUUUGUUGGGAAAGAAAAGCAGCAGGUUAAUACCCCGCUGUUCUGACGGUACCCAAAGAAUAAGCACCGGCUAACUUCGUG